This 390-nucleotide ribosomal RNA is filed under the name uncultured Rikenellaceae bacterium. RNAcentral describes it as "bacterial SSU rRNA". It matches the Rfam family "Bacterial small subunit ribosomal RNA", at positions 996 to 1382 of the family's 1533-position model. Lineage: Bacteria; Pseudomonadati; Bacteroidota; Bacteroidia; Bacteroidales; Rikenellaceae. The record is from RNAcentral.
UAUGGUAGAGAUAUCAUAGCUAGCAAUAGUCUGUAUCGAGGUGCUGCAUGGUUGUCGUCAGCUCGUGCCGUGAGGUGUCGGCUUAAGUGCCAUAACGAGCGCAACCCUUGUCGUUAGUUACCAUCAAGUAAAGUUGGGGGACGUCUAGCGAGACUGCCACCCGUAAGGUGUGAGGAAGGGGGGGGAGUGACGUCAAAUCAGCACGGCCCUUACGUCCGGGGCGACACACGUGUUACAAUGGUAGGUACAGAGGGCCGCUAUCCAGCGAUGGAAUGCUAAUCUCGAAAACCUAUCUCAGUCCGGAUCGGAGUCUGCAACUCGACUCCGUGAAGUUGGAUUCGCUAGUAAUCGCGCAUCAGCCAUGGCGCGGUGAAUACGUUCCCGGGCCUU